UUAUUGUGGUUAUAUAUACAUGGUUGUGGACUAUGUGAAUGAAUCAAUUAAUUUUCCUCUUUCACGCUUCUCCCUCUGUAAAAUAGAAACAGCUCCUCCUUUGUCUUCAAACUUAACACCGCCGGUCCUUUCCUUUGCACCAUUUCCGACCACCACAUACUCAAAACAGAAAAAACCAACAUCACCACUAUUAUCCUCUCUUUCCCCUCUUUCUUUGUGUCAAAUUUAUUUUAUGAUCGGAACACUUUCUACCGGCGACCACCGUACCGGAAAUCAUCACCAAAGUGCCGAAAUUACCUGAGACUGUCAUGAAAUCUUUUUGUAAUGGUUGAAAGUAUGAAUCGAAUAGGAGACAUCGUCGAGAGACGGAUUGUGCUCGCGUAAUGUAAGUUGAACGUGUGGGAAGCUUGCAAAGGCUGUUAGCAAUUGGGGAUAGUUAAGGUAUCCUGGUGUCGUGAAGACUUGCAAGAUGUGAAUGUCAUUGGCUAGGAGUUCAAGAUCAGCUUAGGGUUUUGUUUUAGAAUGUUGUCUGUGUUUGUUUGGGAAGUUUGUUGUUAAAGCUGAAUGCUUAAUUUGUGUGUGUGGUUUUGACCUUUACUUGUUGUCAAGUACUCUGUACGCAAUUAUAUUCAAGUGGUCAAAUAUUUUAUGACCUUGGGCAUUGCGCUGGGCCUAUUUAUGGAAAAGACUUAGACCGAAAAGCUCGUACUCUGUUUUAUCAUUUUUAUUAUUCCUAAAAGGAUAGUGGUCCAUAUUUUGUAAGGCAUUAAUUUUAAAAAAAAAAUACACUCGCGCUGUUAAAAAUCGGGGUGUUACACAUGCCUCGUACCAGGAA
This is a long non-coding RNA of Vicia villosa (hairy vetch), 835 nucleotides long. RefSeq lists it as uncharacterized. NCBI's taxonomy places the organism in Eukaryota, Viridiplantae, Streptophyta, Magnoliopsida, Fabales, Fabaceae. The transcript has 3 exons. The record is from RefSeq and is a predicted model, not a curated record.